This 291-nucleotide RNase P RNA is filed under the name Microcaldota archaeon. RNAcentral's name for it is "Candidatus Micrarchaeota archaeon (hot springs metagenome) RNase P RNA component". It matches the Rfam family "Archaeal RNase P". From Rfam's summary of the family: Ribonuclease P (RNase P) is a ubiquitous endoribonuclease, found in archaea, bacteria and eukarya as well as chloroplasts and mitochondria. Its best characterised activity is the generation of mature 5'-ends of tRNAs by cleaving the 5'-leader elements of precursor-tRNAs. Lineage: Archaea; Nanobdellati; Microcaldota. The record is from RNAcentral.
GCGUGAAGGCGAGCAGCUAACCCUUUGAAGGGAGGAACUUCCACCCGCCAAAUUUAAAUUAGAAGGCAAACCUUUCCUGCUUAAGGCAGGAGCGGGGAUCAGAAACGACAUUCCCAGAGUGUUUUCACUCAAGCGCGUGACACUACGAUGCUUUAACACUCGCUGGGAAGUGAAACGCGCCCCGCUUGAAUGGCGCAAGGCUUUUUUUUGAAAGCCGCUUAGAUAAAUGCUGCCAAUUGAAAAACACGCGGUGUUUUUCGCACAACAAAAGGUGGGGUACCACCUUCACAC